Molecule: ribosomal RNA, 1338 nt
Filed under: uncultured bacterium
Lineage: Bacteria
Description: bacterial SSU rRNA
Rfam family: Bacterial small subunit ribosomal RNA
Source: RNAcentral
GACGAACGCUGGCGGCGUGCUUAACACAUGCAAGUCGAACGGAAAGGCCCUUCGGGGUACUCGAGUGGCGAACGGGUGAGUAACACGUGGGUGAUCUGCCCUGCACUUUGGGAUAAGCCUGGGAAACUGGGUCUAAUACCGAAUAUGAUCAUCGGCUUCAUGGUCGGUGGUGGAAAGCUUUUGCGGUGUGGGAUGGGCCCGCGGCCUAUCAGCUUGUUGGUGGGGUAAUGGCCUACCAAGGCGCCGACGGGUAGCCGGCCUGAGAGGGUGUCCGGCCACACUGGGACUGAGAUACGGCCCAGACUCCUACGGGAUGCAGCAGUGGGGAAUAUUGCACAAUGGGCGCAAGCCUGAUGCAGCGACGCCGCGUGGGGGAUGACGGCCUUCGGGUUGUAAACCUCUUUCAGCACAGACGAAGCGCAAGUGACGGUAUGUGCAGAAGAAGCACCGGCCAACUACGUGCCAGCAGCCGCGGUAAUACGUAGGGUGCGAGCGUUGUCCGGAAUUACCGGGCGUAAAGAGCUUGUAGGUGGUUUGUCGCGUUGUUCGUGAAAUCUCACGGCUUAACUGUGAGCGUGCGGGCGAUACGGGCAGACUAGAGUACUGCAGGGGAGACUGGAAUUCCUGGUGUAGCGGUGGAAUGCGCAGAUAUCAGGAGGAACACCGGUGGCGAAGGCGGGUCUCUGGGCAGUAACUGACGCUGAGAAGCGAAAGCGUGGGGAGCGAACAGGAUUAGAUACCCUGGUAGUCCACGCCGUAAACGGUGGGUACUAGGUGUGGGUUUCCUUCCUUGGGAUCCGUGCCGUAGCUAACGCAUUAAGUACCCCGCCUGGGGAGUACGGCCGCAAGGCUAAAACUCAAAGGAAUUGACGGGGGCCCGCACAAGCGGCGGAGCAUGUGGAUUAAUUCGAUGCAACGCGAAGAACCUUACCUGGGCUUGACAUGCACUAGAAAGCCGUAGAGAUACGGCCCCCCUUGUGGUUGGUGUGCAGGUGGUGCAUGGCUGUCGUCAGCUCGUGUCGUGAGAUGUUGGGUUAAGUCCCGCAACGAGCGCAACCCUUGUCUCAUGUUGCCAGCGGGUAAUGCCGGGGACUCGUGAGAGACUGCCGGGGUCAACUCGGAGGAAGGUGGGGAUGACGUCAAGUCAUCAUGCCCCUUAUGUCCAGGGCUUCACACAUGCUACAAUGGCCGGUACAAAGGGCUGCGAUGCCGUGAGGUGGAGCGAAUCCUUUCAAAGCCGGUCUCAGUUCGGAUCGGGGUCUGCAACUCGACCCCGUGAAGUCGGAGUCGCUAGUAAUCGCAGAUCAGCAACGCUGCGGUGAAUACGUUCCCGGGCCU